UCGCACUGUUCGUAACCUGUUGACAGCAUUUUCUGCUAAUGGGUUCCAUUCCAGUGCUACAACAAAACUCAGGAUGAGAAAAAGCCAGUCUAUUCUGCCUGUCUUUCAUCUCUAUUUUGGGUGACACUC
Anolis carolinensis (green anole) is the source of this 129-nucleotide small nucleolar RNA. The record is from Ensembl. Lineage: Eukaryota; Metazoa; Chordata; Lepidosauria; Squamata; Anolidae.